AGUGAACGCUGGCGGUAGGCCUAACACAUGCAAGUCGAACGGCAGCACAGGAGAGCUUGCUCUCUGGGUGGCGAGUGGCGGACGGGUGAGGAAUACAUCGGAAUCUACCUUUUCGUGGGGGAUAACGUAGGGAAACUUACGCUAAUACCGCAUACGACCUACGGGUGAAAGCAGGGGACCUUCGGGCCUUGCGCGAUUGAAUGAGCCGAUGUCGGAUUAGCUAGUUGGCGGGGUAAAGGCCCACCAAGGCGACGAUCCGUAGCUGGUCUGAGAGGAUGAUCAGCCACACUGGAACUGAGACACGGUCCAGACUCCUACGGGAGGCAGCAGUGGGGAAUAUUGGACAAUGGGCGCAAGCCUGAUCCAGCCAUACCGCGUGGGUGAAGAAGGCCUUCGGGUUGUAAAGCCCUUUUGUUUGGAAAGAAAUCCAGCUGGUUAAUACCCGGUUGGGAUGACGGUACCCAAAGAAUAAGCACCGGCUAACUUCGUGCCAGCCGCCGCAGUAA
RNAcentral lists this ribosomal RNA (506 nucleotides) under uncultured bacterium. RNAcentral describes it as "partial 16S ribosomal RNA". It matches the Rfam family "Bacterial small subunit ribosomal RNA", at positions 29 to 523 of the family's 1533-position model. The record is from RNAcentral.